UGUGACUUAGUCUGUUGUGGUGAGCUGA
This 28-nucleotide non-coding RNA is filed under the name Homo sapiens (human). The record is from RNAcentral. Lineage: Eukaryota; Metazoa; Chordata; Mammalia; Primates; Hominidae.